ACAUAAUUAUUAAAUUAAGCAUAGAAUAUAAUAAAUAACUCCAAAGUGAAAAUAAGGGUAAUUGAAUUAUUGCAUCAUAAAAAGUUCCAUUGUAUUCCUAAUAGGAGAAUUAGUUCAUCAUAAUAAUAGAAACCGACAGAAUAAAAAUAAAUAACAUUCCAAGUACAGAUAAUGAAUUAAGGAAAAGAAGAAAAACUCUAUCUAGAAUCUCCGGUCUCUAUAGCUUCAAUCUCCGUAUCUUCGUGUUCUCCAAGUUUCGUGCGGGAAACUAACCUUCAAAUUUGUCCCUGCUUUUGUUACCCAUUGAGUGCCCGGCUUACACAUUUGCUUUAUCAAUCUGUCCAAAUUGGGAAAGAAGUCCUCAUAUCGAUUGUCAAGAGUGGGUGUUUCCAAUCCAAAAUACUCAUUAAUGAAGUCUCUAUCGAACACCACUAGUUUACCUCUAACCAUCACCACAUGCCCAACCCUCUCGAUCGUAUUAGCAUAAAACUCCUUAAUAACAGAGAUUACGAGGCAUAAGGCUGCCCGACUAGCUUAAACCAAUUACGUUUGAUAAUCUUCUCUAUCAUAGCCCCAUCUAAGUUGGAAUUCGGCCUUAAUCCCCGUUCCAAUACCAAUAUUUUCUUAGCUAAGACUGUGUUGAACCACUCUUCUGCCUCCGCACUACCAAACCUUGACCCAUCAAAUUGUUAACUUACACUAGAGCUAUCACCCCUCUGCCUUUUGGAUGACAUGAUGUAACAGAACAAAUGUAUUUGCUCAUAAAGGGACUGUACUCAGUGAUUCAGACCAAUUAUCGAACACUUGGCAGACGACUACCAAUCUCCCGCAAAUAUACCCCUUUGUAUCAAUUCAAAACCAUAAAUACAGACAACAUUAAUCAAAGACUUUGGCCAACACAAACCCAACGCAAUCACAACACAAUAUAAUACUACGCUAACAAAAUUGAACACUGAACUAAGUUAUGGAAUCUGAAAUGCACAAUGUUUGGAUUUUAUUACCUUAGUUGAAGAGUUUAAACCCCAAUAUUGAUGAACUUUAACCUUGAUGCUUAUUUCCUAAGCCCUUGAUGUAAGAGAUGACUGGAUAUGGGAUUAAGGGUUUUUAAUUUGGAUGCAGAAUAAAGGUUCAGAUUUGGGAAUGAGAGAUUUGGGGGAAAUAAUGGUUUGUUUGGAUUAGAGUUGGAUUUGGAUUAGGCUUUAGGGGUAGAGAUUAGGAAGUGUUUGGAGUAGAUUAGGAGUGUAUAGAGGGAUAAAGAUUAGGAUUUUAAGAGAGAUUAGAUGUUUUGUAUGUGUGAUAAGGCCCGAAACCCUUAUUUUAUUUCUGAGUUGGCCGCCCAGCACGCCCCACACUCGUUUGUGGUCUGGAAUGGCACGCCCCGCGCUGUUUAUACAGAAUUAUUGAUGGUGUAGCGGGCCACGCGCCAUGUUGCAAAGGCAGGUCGGUUGAAA
Molecule: long non-coding RNA, 1451 nt
Filed under: Panax ginseng (ginseng)
Lineage: Eukaryota; Viridiplantae; Streptophyta; Magnoliopsida; Apiales; Araliaceae
Description: long non-coding RNA (PGIN_LNC006425)
Source: RNAcentral